Molecule: long non-coding RNA, 701 nt
Filed under: Monodelphis domestica (gray short-tailed opossum)
Lineage: Eukaryota; Metazoa; Chordata; Mammalia; Didelphimorphia; Didelphidae
Description: lncRNA (ENSMODG00000035862.2)
Source: RNAcentral
CUGCCCUUUUGACACCAAAUUAAACUUUAAUUCAGGCAGAGGAGGAAGCAAAGGGCGGCCGAACAGCCCCGCCGAACCAUCAAUGAGAUCUUCUGGGAGUUAAUUAUGCUGUAACUCUUUUGCUGUUUGGAGCUCAUUAAUUCCCCGCCCCCUCUUCCCUUCCCUCCUUUAAACUGUUCAGUUAUUUCCAGCUAAAGGCUGCUCAUCGUCUGGAAGAGUCCCCUAGGACCAAACUGCUUACCAAACAAUAACGGUAGCUUUCUGCUUCAGCUAUAAAAUGCCCUUCCUCUAGGAGACGGCUCUUUUGAUGGUAGCGGCUUGGAUUUGCAUAAUGUGGUGCCUGAAGAAAUCAUUAAUACUUUAGAAGAAUGACACCUACAUUGGGAAAAGAUUUCUUGGCCUGGACAUCCUUACACCAAUGGAAAAGCCUGCACAUGUGCUGGGAAGUCAGGAGUGUUGGCCAUGCUACGGGUCCUGGGUCUGAACUCUGGCAUCUAUUCUGCCUCCCAGAACCAACUGUGCUGCUCCCUUACUCCAGUUUCAACUGAACUUGCACAGAAACCAGAUUUCCUAGAUAUGGCUCUUCAGGGUGAAAAAAAAAGAUAAUGAGACAAAAGAAAAUAAGUUUUGUCUAAACUUCUCCUCGUGAAAUGAAUCUGGGUACCUGGCUGAACCUGACCAUAUUUUGAAGAAAUAAAGAA